This 501-nucleotide ribosomal RNA is filed under the name uncultured bacterium. Its description in RNAcentral is "partial 16S ribosomal RNA". It matches the Rfam family "Bacterial small subunit ribosomal RNA", at positions 30 to 523 of the family's 1533-position model. The record is from RNAcentral.
AUUGAACGCUGGCGGCAGGCUUAACACAUGCAAGUCGAGCGGGGUGAUGGUGCUUGCACUAUCACUUAGCGGCGGACGGGUGAGUAACGCUUAAGAAUCUGCCUAUUAGUGGGGGACAACAUCUCGAAAGGGAUGCUAAUACCGCAUACGUCCUACGGGAGAAAGCAGGGGAUCUUCGGACCUUGCGCUAAUAGAUGAGCCUAAGGCGGAUUAGCUAGUUGGUGGGGUAAAGGCCUACCAAGGCGACGAUCUGUAGCGGGUCUGAGAGGAUGAUCCGCCACACUGGGACUGAGACACGGCCCAGACUCCUACGGGAGGCAGCAGUGGGGAAUAUUGGACAAUGGGGGGAACCCUGUUCCAGCCAUGCCGCGUGUGUGAAGAAGGCCUUAUGGUUGUAAAGCACUUUAAGCGAGGAGGAGGCUACUCUAGUUAAUACCUAGGGAUAGUGGACGUUACUCGCAGAAUAAGCACCGGCUAACUCUGUGCCAGCAGCCGCAGUAA